CCUACGGGUGGCAGCAGUGGGGAAUAUUGCACAAUGGGCGCAAGCCUGAUGCAGCCAUGCCGCGUGUGUGAAGAAGGCCUUCGGGUUGUAAAGCACUUUCAGCGGGGAGGAAGGCGGUGAGGUUAAUAACCUCAUCGAUUGGCGUUACCCGCAGAAGAAGCACCGGCUAACUCCGUGCCAGCAGCCGCGGUAAUACGGAGGGUGCAAGCGUUAAUCGGAAUUACUGGGCGUAAAGCGCACGCAGGCGGUCUGUCAAGUCGGAUGUGAAAUCCCCGGGCUCAACCUAGGAACUGCAUUCGAAACUGGCAGGCUAGAGUCUUGUAGAGGGGGGUAGAAUUCCAGGUGUAGCGGUGAAAUGCGUAGAGAUCUGGAGGAAUACCGGUGGCGAAGGCGGCCCCCUGGACAAAGACUGACGCCCAGGUGCGAAAGCGUGGGGAGCAAACAGGAUUAGAUACCCUAGUAGUC
This 465-nucleotide ribosomal RNA is filed under the name uncultured Klebsiella sp. RNAcentral describes it as "bacterial SSU rRNA". It matches the Rfam family "Bacterial small subunit ribosomal RNA", at positions 338 to 795 of the family's 1533-position model. Lineage: Bacteria; Pseudomonadati; Pseudomonadota; Gammaproteobacteria; Enterobacterales; Enterobacteriaceae. The record is from RNAcentral.